UGCACAUGUGUGUGUUCAACUGGUGGAUAAAGGUAUGAAAGAGGUGAAGUGCAGAAAUAAAUCCUCUUUUGCAACUCAGAAUUCAGUGUUCAGUAUGAGUUUUUAUAUAUACAGAAAGCGUUAUA
This is a small nucleolar RNA of Nannospalax galili (Upper Galilee mountains blind mole rat), 125 nucleotides long. The record is from Ensembl. Lineage: Eukaryota; Metazoa; Chordata; Mammalia; Rodentia; Spalacidae.